CUGAAUUACUUGUUUAUCUUUUCCAAUUUGCCUUCUGCAUCUAAAUCUCAUUUGUCAUGCUUGGCUUAUGUGUUUUGAUCCCAUGACAGCUCGGGUUGGAACUUGUUGGUGAAAGCCUCAUCUUUUUUCUUUGUUUUGUUUGCAAAAAGGGUCUUGAGUAUAAAGCUUAGCAACAAAGCAAAAUAGUGUUCAAUUACUUGGUGCAAUGGCCUAUUGUGCUCCUGAGCAAUUGUCCCAGUGUCUCCAUAAGAUUGUACCAAAACUGACAGAGGUCUCUCUUUGUGUUUAUGAAUUUUUUAAUUUAUUAUGUAAAAUAUUUCAUGCUCAUACUUAAUUUUGUUUAUCUUUGUCUUCUUUAAACUCUUAGGAAUGCAGGUUUUAACUAAUGUCCAUCCAAGUUUUUGCUGGUUAUGCAGAAGCAUAGUAAAUAUAUGUGAAACUUGGCUUUUUAUGUGUGUCCAGU
Humulus lupulus (European hop) is the source of this 463-nucleotide long non-coding RNA. RefSeq lists it as uncharacterized. Lineage: Eukaryota; Viridiplantae; Streptophyta; Magnoliopsida; Rosales; Cannabaceae. The transcript has 2 exons. The record is from RefSeq and is a predicted model, not a curated record.